GCCUUAUGUAUUAUUUACUGUAAGUGUAGACCAGAAGUAAGCGCAUGUCUUAUUAUGACCAAGGAAUAUGCCUUCACACAACCAUGUUUGAUAAACCACAUAUAUUUUUACAAGCGUAACACUUGUUUGCUUGGGCGCUAUUUUGGUUAUGCUAGUGACGAUAGCAUCGUGCCAUCGUGUUGAUACGUUGCGCGUCUCGCCGGUCGCGCCGACCCACGUCACGCUUCUUUGGCCGUGACAGCGUUCCGUCUCCGUUACCCCAAAACGGGCGUCUCGCAGAGUCUGCCGAUUGGUCCUGGCAGCUCGGAAAAUGCCGCGGCCGUACCACCUGAUUCAACACGCACUUCGUUUCCGGGCUUAAAACAGAAACAGAGUGCAGCGAUGACCGACAGCAGGCUGUCACUGGCAAACAUGCUGAGAUUCCAGCGGGCUCCAGGGGACGCACUUGCCGUCAACAGGCGGCAGCCACCGCGCGCAACUGCCAAGAACGCAGUGAGUCACACCUCAGAACUUCACCAAAGAGGCGUCCAUUUCAUCCAAGUCUCCUCUAAUGUGCUGGUCACCUGCCACUGACCAGCAAAGGUUGUUCUCACCAUCGCCCCCUUCUGGAUCGUCAUAUCAAAUACCAACGUUCUUUCUCCAUCCACCUGCAUCCACACUGUCAAUCCUUUUCAGGCAUGGCUAGUGUUUCUUCUUCUUCCCCUGAUUGCAUCCCUUGAACAUCGUUAAUUGGAAGACAGAGAGGACAGAUGAGCAUUGGAACAGAGCCAUGACAGAGGGAUGUUUGCUCAAAACCCAAGAUCAAUUUGGUGCUUCGAGGCAACUCAAACACACGGCAAACAUCACUGAAAAUUAUCCAGCAAGAACUGUGUCCUCAGUGGUUGCAGUUGUGUGCGUUGACUUUGUUUGUGUUGAUGCUGGCUGAUUUGUUCCCUAUCCUGUGUGGCUCUCAGUGUCUUUUCAUGACACCGGUUUUGAUGUACGUCUGCUUGCGGCAAUCUUCAUUAACUUGCAUCUAAAUUAGUGACUGAAAGAUAGAUAUGUUUGAAGCUGUUGUUUUUUCCUAAUGGCAUCAUACAUGGGGAGACAUAAAAGACAAAUUAGAAAAAAAAAUUUUAAUGCAUUUUUUUAAUGGAGAAAGUGAGUUUUCAAGAAUUAAUUUUAUAAAAAAUAAUCGAUUUAAUUUUUGUUCCAUAAUGGAAACAGUGCGAAAACAUCUACAUAAAUAUUCCCAAAGAGGACAGUCAUUAAAAAAAACUGACGCGGAUGUCUCAAUGCUUCCAAUCCUUUGCGGAAUUCAUCUGUCAUCUAUGAAAUAUCUGAUUGGGCUGGAUGCGGUUUAGGGGAUCUUAAACAGUUGUUUCCAUGCACAAAAUGUGUUUCUCCUGUUUUAGUGCACAACAGACACAUAUUUUGAAGACAUGUAACAUCACAUUAAGAAAUGGACCUCAAUAUGAACCAAAACCAAAACGAUAUGACCCACACGAAAUGAUAGUUAGCCACUAAACACUGAUCAGUUGUAGCCAAAGCCAGAUACUGCUAUGGAUUAAUUUAAAAAUAAAUCUAUUUUUAAUUAAA
Non-coding RNA from Paramormyrops kingsleyae, 1578 nucleotides. NCBI's taxonomy places the organism in Eukaryota, Metazoa, Chordata, Actinopteri, Osteoglossiformes, Mormyridae. The record is from RefSeq and is a predicted model, not a curated record.